This 844-nucleotide ribosomal RNA is filed under the name uncultured bacterium. Its description in RNAcentral is "bacterial SSU rRNA". It matches the Rfam family "Bacterial small subunit ribosomal RNA", at positions 68 to 908 of the family's 1533-position model. The record is from RNAcentral.
GGGCUUGGGGGCUUGCUCCCGGGCUAGUGGCGAACGGGUGAGUAAUAUAUCGGAACAUAUCCGGAAGUGGGGGAUAACGUAGCGAAAGUUACGCUAAUACCGCAUAUGCCCUGAGGGGGAAAGGGGGGGAUCGCAAGACCUCUCGCUUUCGGAGUGGCCGAUACCGGAUUAGCUAGAUGGUGAGGUAAAGGCUCACCAUGGCGACGAUCCGUAGCGGGUCUGAGAGGACGACCCGCCACACUGGAACUGAGACACGGUCCAGACUCCUACGGGAGGCAGCAGUGGGGAAUUUUGGACAAUGGGCGCAAGCCUGAUCCAGCCAUACCGCGUGAGUGAAGAAGGCCUUCGGGUUGUAAAGCUCUUUCAGCCGGAAAGAAAUUGCUUCUAUUAAUACUAGGGGUAGAUGACGGUACCGGAAGAAGAAGCACCGGCUAACUACGUGCCAGCAGCCGCGGUAAUACGUAGGGUGCGAGCGUUAAUCGGAAUUACUGGGCGUAAAGCGUGCGCAGGCGGUUUGGUAAGACAGAUGUGAAAUCCCCGGGCUUAACCUGGGAACUGCAUUUGUGACUGCCAGACUAGAGUGUAGCAGAGGGGGGUAGAAUUCCACGUGUAGCAGUGAAAUGCGUAGAGAUGUGGAGGAAUACCGAUGGCGAGGGCAGCCCCCUGGGCUAACACUGACGCUCAUGCACGAAAGCGUGGGGAGCAAACAGGAUUAGAUACCCUGGUAGUCCACGCCCUAAACGAUGUCAACUAGGUGUUGGGGAAGGAGACUUCUUUAGUACCGCAGCUAACGCGUGAAGUUGACCGCCUGGGGAGUACGGUCGCAAGAUUAAAACUCAAAGGA